This 1101-nucleotide long non-coding RNA is filed under the name Bos indicus x Bos taurus (hybrid cattle). Its description in RNAcentral is "lncRNA (ENSBIXG00005001865.1)". Lineage: Eukaryota; Metazoa; Chordata; Mammalia; Artiodactyla; Bovidae. The record is from RNAcentral.
AUGCAUUCGGCAAUACAGAUCAAGCCCACGACACAACAGCUUUUACACACACACACACACACACAGAGACACACACACACAAACACACAUACACGGCCCAAAAGUACAAAUUUUCUGAAGCCGAGUCGUGGUUUACACUUCAUGUAUUUUAUAUUUCUCUUGAGCCUCAGGCCGCCUCAGAGGAGGAGUUUCCCCGGCUUGCGCCCUGACGGCAGCAGGCUGGCUUUUCUAGAGUCCCCUGCACCGUCCAGGCAGCAGGGCGCCCCUCGUCUGUCCGUCUCCGCUCUGCCCAAGAGGGGACCCCGAGCCACUGGCAGGUGGCGGGCGCGCCGCUGGAGGACUCCGCCCGCGCAGCUCGGUAUCCGCCAAGCUCAGCUGGCUCGGGCCGGGCGGGCCGGGCACGGGGGCGCGGACUCUGCGCCCCCCGCCAGCCGCUGUCGCCCUGGCCGCCCCCUCACCAAUCCCCCCCAGCCCACCCCGUGCCAGGCGCGCCGCCGCCCCUCCGGCCGCUCGCGCAGGCCGGAUCUCCUCGAAUUUCAACACAAAGGGAAUCCUCGGCCGCAGGAAGUGCAUCACCAGGAAGGGGGGUCGGGGCGGGGAGAGGGGGGCGUGCCUCCGCCCCGACAGCCCGCCCCCCGGGGGCCUGGACGUGUCGUGACGACAGCCUCGGGGUCCCCCCGGCGCCCCCGCAACUGGAGACCCCGGAGGCCUGGGGCCCGCUCUCGCCCGGCGGCGCUGACCCGGCCGCCCCGGCCUCUGCUCGCGGGCGCCCGCACCUGGGCUGCCCCUCGUGCCCCAGCCCUGGUCCCCUCCCCGACUUGCCUCCCGCACGCCCUUCCCCUGCGGACUUUUCGUGGAAGCCGGGCUGCAGGUGCCCCGCUCCCGGCGGCGCUGCGCCCCCAGCCGGGGCCAGGCUUCCCCGGGGCAGGACGCAGGGCGGGAGGGCGUCCCCGGGCCAGCGGGGCGGCGGGCCCGGAGGGCCGCUUUCGUUUCCCGGACGCCGGCCGGGGGCCCGGCCGGGCUUGCUACCCGGAGCCGCGAGCCUGCGAGGGGGAAGGCCGGCGAGGCCCCGGCGCGCCCGGCCCUCAGCGUUCUCACUAG